UCAAACUUGGUCAUUUAGAGGAAGUAAAAGUCGUAACAAGGUCUCCGUUGGUGAACCAGCGGAGGGAUCAUUAGCGAGUUCAGCACUCCUACAUUCCCGCGAACCUGUCCCGAGUGAAGCGUUGCCUCGGCCGGGGGCCCCAGGGCGGGGUGCUGAGCCUGGCCAAGCCAGGUCCCGGCCGGCGGCGGAAAGUCCCGAGGAUUUUUUUUUUUUCCGUUCUUCCAUCUUUUUAUUUUAUUUUAUUUUAUUUUUUUCUUCUUCGCCCCAUGCGGCUGCUCUGAGUACAUGUGGGCGGUAAUUCGUGAACAACUUUCAACAACGGAUCUCUUGGUUCUGGCAUCGAUGAAGAACGCAGC
Molecule: unclassified non-coding RNA, 356 nt
Filed under: uncultured fungus
Lineage: Eukaryota; Fungi
Description: partial contains small subunit ribosomal RNA, internal transcribed spacer 1, and 5.8S ribosomal RNA
Rfam family: Eukaryotic small subunit ribosomal RNA (bases 1-73)
Source: RNAcentral